UACGUAGGUGGCAAGCGUUGUCCGGCAUUACUGGGUGUAAAGGGCGUGUAGGCGGGAUAGCAAGUCAGAUGUGAAAUUCCGGGGCUUAACCCCGGCACUGCAUCUGAAACUGUUAUUCUUGAGUGUCGGAGAGGAAAGUGGAAUUCCCAGUGUAGCGGUGAAAUGCGUAGAGAUUGGGAGGAACACCAGUGGCGAAGGCGGCUUUCUGGACGAUAACUGACGCUGAGGCGCGAAAGCGUGGGGAGCAAACAGG
Molecule: ribosomal RNA, 253 nt
Filed under: uncultured bacterium
Lineage: Bacteria
Description: partial 16S ribosomal RNA
Rfam family: Bacterial small subunit ribosomal RNA
Source: RNAcentral